UAGGGAAUAUUGGUAAUGUGCGAAAGCGCGAACCAGCAACGCCGCGUGCACGAUGAAGGCCUUCGGGUCGUAAAGUGCUUUUAGAGAGGAUGAGGAAGGACAGUACUUUCUGAAUAAGCCUCGGCUAACUACGUGCCAGCAGCCGCGGUAAAACGUAGGAGGCUAGCGUUAUCCGGAUUUACUGGGCGUAAGGCGCAUGCAGGUGGUUUUGUAAGUUGGAUGUGAAAGCUCCUGGCUUAACUGGGAGAGGUCGUUCAAAACUACAAGACUUGAGAUUGGUAGAGGAAAAUGGAAUUCCGGGUGUAGUGGUGAAAUGCGUAGAUAUCCGGAGGAACACCAGUGGCGAAAGCGGUUUUCUGGACCAAUUCUGACACUCAGAUGCGAAAGCUAAGGUAGCAAACG
RNAcentral lists this ribosomal RNA (402 nucleotides) under uncultured bacterium. RNAcentral describes it as "bacterial SSU rRNA". It matches the Rfam family "Bacterial small subunit ribosomal RNA", at positions 355 to 774 of the family's 1533-position model. The record is from RNAcentral.